GUGGGAGCCGAGCUUGCUCGCGAUGACGUCGGAUCAGUCAGCAUUGAUGUUGGCAGACACACCGCAAUCGCGAGCAAGCUCGGCUCCCAC
RNAcentral lists this non-coding RNA (90 nucleotides) under Pseudomonas fluorescens. Lineage: Bacteria; Pseudomonadati; Pseudomonadota; Gammaproteobacteria; Pseudomonadales; Pseudomonadaceae. The record is from RNAcentral. RNAcentral also lists the same sequence under 1 other name.